Gossypium hirsutum (cotton) is the source of this 107-nucleotide non-coding RNA. The record is from Rfam. NCBI's taxonomy places the organism in Eukaryota, Viridiplantae, Streptophyta, Magnoliopsida, Malvales, Malvaceae.
AAUUCAUGGUGAGGGUACCGUCUCAGUAAAUCCUUAUAGCUCUCCCAUGCAUCAUAUAGGGUAUCUAAGUCGAUCUGAAUGAAUGAAGACAUAUCAUUCUUUAACUU